RNAcentral lists this ribosomal RNA (470 nucleotides) under uncultured bacterium. RNAcentral's name for it is "bacterial SSU rRNA". It matches the Rfam family "Bacterial small subunit ribosomal RNA", at positions 32 to 516 of the family's 1533-position model. The record is from RNAcentral.
AAUCAACGCUGGCGGCGUGCCUAACACAUGCAAGUCGAACGCGAAAGGGGCUUCGGUCCUGAGUAGAGUGGCGUCCGGGUGAGUAACGCGUGGGUAAUCUACCUUUGGGUGGGGAAUAACUAGUCGAAAGGCUAGCUAAUACCGCAUAAUGCAAUUUUCUGCUAGAAUUUUGUUAAAGCAGUAAUGUGCCUAAAGAUGAGCCUGCGUCUGAUUAGUUUGUUGGUAGGGUAAUGGCCUACCAAGACUACUAUCAGUAGCUGGUCUGAGAGGACGGCCAGCCACAAUGGCACUGAAACACGGGCCAUACUCCUACGGGAGGCAGCAGUGGGGAAUUUUGUCGCAAUGAGCGAAAGCUUGACGCAGCAACGCCGCGUGAAGGAUGAAAUCCUUCGGGAUGUAAACUUCGCAAGUAUGGGAAGAAAAAAUGACGGUACCAUAUGUAAGCCCCGGCUAACUCCGUGCCAGCAGCC